AGGGAUCAUUACACAAAUAUGAAGGCGGGCUGGAAUCUCUCGGGGUUACAGCCUUGCUGAAUUAUUCACCCUUGUCUUUUGCGUACUUCUUGUUUCCUUGGUGGGUUCGCCCACCACUAGGACAAACAUAAACCUUUUGUAAUUGCAAUCAGCGUCAGUAACAAAUUAAUAAUUACAACUUUCAACAACGGAUCUCUUGGUUCUGGCAUCGAUGAAGAACGCAGCGAAAUGCGAUAAGUAGUGUGAAUUGCAGAAUUCAGUGAAUCAUCGAAUCUUUGAACGCACAUUGCGCCCUUUGGUAUUCCAAAGGGCAUGCCUGUUCGAGCGUCAUUUGUACCCUCAAGCUUUGCUUGGUGUUGGGCGUCUUGUCUCUAGCUUUGCUGGAGACUCGCCUUAAAGUAAUUGGCAGCCGGCCUACUGGUUUCGGAGCGCAGCACAAGUCGCACUCUCUAUCAGCAAAGGUCUAGCAUCCAUUAAGCCUUUUUUUCAACUUUUGACCUCGGAUCAGGUAGGGAUACCCGCUGAACUUAA
Molecule: ribosomal RNA, 531 nt
Filed under: Alternaria alternata
Lineage: Eukaryota; Fungi; Ascomycota; Dothideomycetes; Pleosporales; Pleosporaceae
Description: eukaryotic LSU rRNA
Rfam family: 5.8S ribosomal RNA (bases 177-330)
Source: RNAcentral